UCCCUAGCCGCCUCCUCAUUCCAUCCUAUCCCUCUUCCCCAUCCUCCCCUCAAUAAGUCCUCUCAGGUCUAUAAAGCACCUUGAUGCUGUCACCUUCACCAGCUGCAGCCCUCUUUCCCCAGCUCCUCAGGUGGAAGGUCAGCGAUUUCAGUGCCCACAAACCUUUCAUGACUGGACCAGAAGACCUGACCAUGAAGAUCCCUCUUCAUGGCUUUCCCUCUGUCUUUUCUGGUCUGAGCCAAACAGACAGCAGCUUUCGAGAAGCAGGGGAUCUCUGCUAAGUCUGAAAGGCGACAGAGAGAAGUAGCUGUCAGCAAGCUGAGAGGUGUUAAAAAGAGAAGACAGAUUGGGGAUUGAAACGGAAGCUCCUGUGUGCGGAAGCCAUUGCAGCUAAUCACUCAUCCAUUCUCCACGUCUUGGAGUGCCCUACAUCCUGACUCCUUAGUUCUGAGCAAUGAUAAUUCUAAGCCAGCUCAUACAGGCCCCAAGCUGAUUGUUAAAUUUUCAUCGAGAACAUUAUACCUUGCAAAUUGUCAAA
This is a long non-coding RNA of Monodelphis domestica (gray short-tailed opossum), 538 nucleotides long. RefSeq lists it as uncharacterized. The record is from RefSeq and is a predicted model, not a curated record. NCBI's taxonomy places the organism in Eukaryota, Metazoa, Chordata, Mammalia, Didelphimorphia, Didelphidae.